RNAcentral lists this ribosomal RNA (253 nucleotides) under uncultured bacterium. RNAcentral's name for it is "partial 16S ribosomal RNA". It matches the Rfam family "Bacterial small subunit ribosomal RNA", at positions 524 to 776 of the family's 1533-position model. The record is from RNAcentral.
UACGGAGGGUGCAAGCGUUAAUCGGAAUUACUGGGCGUAAAGCGUGCGCAGGCGGUUUGUUAAGUCCGUUGUGAAAGCCCCGAGCUCAACUUGGGAAUUGCAGUGGAUACUGGCAGGCUGGAGUACGGUAGAGGAAGGUGGAAUUCCCGGUGUAGCAGUGAAAUGCGUAGAUAUUAGGAAGAACACCAGUGGCGAAGGCGGCUCACUGGUCCGGUACUGACGCUGAGGUGCGAAAGCGUGGGGAGCAAACAGG